CCUACGGGAGGCAGCAGUAGGGAAUCUUUCACAAUGGGCGAAAGCCUGAUGGAGCAACGCCGCGUGCAGGAUGAAGGCCUUCGGGUUGUAAACUGCUUUUAUAAGCGAGAAAUAUGAUGGUAACUUAUGAAUAAGGAUCGGCUAACUACGUGCCAGCAGCCGCGGUCAUACGUAGGAUCCGAGCAUUAUCCGGAGUGACUGGGUGUAAAGAGUUGCGUAGGUGGCAUAAUAAGUAGCUAGUGAAAUCUGGUGGCUCAACCAUUCAGACUAUUAGCUAUACUGUUAAGCUCGAGACCGUUAGGGGUAACUGGAAUUUCUAGUGUAGGAGUGAAAUCCGUAGAUAUUAGAAGGAACACCAAUAGCGUAGGCAGGUUGCUGGGACGGUUCUGACACUAAGGCACGAAAGCGUAGGGAGCAAACGGGAUUAGAUACCCCAGUAGUC
Molecule: ribosomal RNA, 442 nt
Filed under: uncultured bacterium
Lineage: Bacteria
Description: partial 16S ribosomal RNA
Rfam family: Bacterial small subunit ribosomal RNA
Source: RNAcentral